Molecule: ribosomal RNA, 433 nt
Filed under: uncultured bacterium
Lineage: Bacteria
Description: partial 16S ribosomal RNA
Rfam family: Bacterial small subunit ribosomal RNA
Source: RNAcentral
AGCGAACGCUGGCGGCAGGCCUAACACAUGCAAGUCGAACGAACUCUUCGGAGUUAGUGGCGGACGGGUUAGUAACACGUGGGAACGUGCCUUUUGGUUCGGAAUAACUCAGGGAAACUUGUGCUAAUACCGAAUGUGCCCUUCGGGGGAAAGAUUUAUCGCCAUUAGAGCGGCCCGCGUCUGAUUAGCUAGUUGGUGAGGUAACGGCUCACCAAGGCGACGAUCAGUAGCUGGUCUGAGAGGAUGACCAGCCACACUGGGACUGAGACACGGCCCAGACUCCUACGCGAGGCAGCAGUGGGGAAUCUUGCGCAAUGGGCGAAAGCCUGACGCAGCCAUGCCGCGUGAAUGAUGAAGGUCUUAGGAUUGUAAAAUUCUUUCACCGGGGACGAUAAUGACGGUACCCGGAGAAGAAGCCCCGGCUAACUUCGUG